Pseudophryne corroboree (corroboree frog) is the source of this 208-nucleotide long non-coding RNA. RefSeq lists it as uncharacterized. The record is from RefSeq and is a predicted model, not a curated record. NCBI's taxonomy places the organism in Eukaryota, Metazoa, Chordata, Amphibia, Anura, Myobatrachidae. The transcript has 3 exons.
UAAUAUUAUACCUGUUCUUCUGUUUGCACUUCAGGAUCCCCGGACGAAACUCCGACUCACAUCAACAUAUAUGUAAUGGCUACCAGGCAUCAGGCAGACACUGAUUGUGACCACUGAUUAUCUAUUGCUGUUUUCUGAAAACAAAGUGAAAGAGUUAAAACAAAGAUGAUGAGAUAUGGUACCCACCUGAAAACAUUGUUAUAAAGGU